Molecule: ribosomal RNA, 489 nt
Filed under: uncultured bacterium
Lineage: Bacteria
Description: partial 16S ribosomal RNA
Rfam family: Bacterial small subunit ribosomal RNA
Source: RNAcentral
AUUGAACGCUGGCGGCAGGCCUAACACAUGCAAGUCGAACGGUAACAGGAAGCAGCUUGCUGCUUUGCUGACGAGUGGCGGACGGGUGAGUAAUGUCUGGGAAACUGCCCGAUGGAGGGGGAUAACUACUGGAAACGGUAGCUAAUACCGCAUAACGUCGCAAGACCAAAGAGGGGGACCUUAGGGCCUCUUGCCAUCGGAUGUGCCCAGAUGGGAUUAGCUAGUAGGUGGGGUAACGGCUCACCUAGGCGACGAUCCCUAGCUGGUCUGAGAGGAUGACCAGCCACACUGGAACUGAGACACGGUCCAGACUCCUACGGGAGGCAGCAGUGGGGAAUAUUGACAAUGGGCGCAAGCCUGAUGCAGCCAUGCCGCGUGUAUGAAGAAGGCCUUCGGGUUGUAAAGUACUUUCAGCGGGGAGGAAGGGAGUAAAGUUAAUACCUUUGCUCAUUGACGUUACCCGCAGAAGAAGCACCGGCUAACUCCGUG